CCCAAGGAAAGCGUGGGCGCCGGGACAGCUCUGCUCUGCAGCAACAGGGAGGGAUUCGGUGUUGUGGCACAGUGCCUGCGCCUCUCUUGGCCUGCAGUCAUUAAUCAGGUGGCCAGACACAGCCUCGAUUGCUGAAGGCGCAAAGUCAUGGCCCCUCCAAGGUCAUUCAAGGCUCUGGAAAGUGAGUCAACUGAUAGCGUGCAGCAGCUCAUGGCUUAUUAGGCAGCAACACUGUGCACACCCCAGAGCUUCCAUUUUCCAACCCAGCCAGUGGGAAGUGUGUUCUCGAAGCCACAAAGAACCCACGCAGAGAGCGCCGCAGAGCAGAAGGAAACCAGCGGGUAGCAGAGAUAACUGCGUCCAGAGAGGGAGUGGGAUCUGCCCAGAGCUGCCCAGCAGACCAGCAGAACCCAGUUUGAGAAUGUCAUGUUUUGAUCAUCCCCUCUGCGGGCCCCCACACAACACACGCCCACUGGCCUUAGGUGUCCCAGGAGGGGCCCUGGAUGUGGCUGCUGCUUUACCUCGAAUGUAGAGACGCUCAGUAGUUUCUACAACUGCAGCAACCCCUCUGCAUGGUGGGCCAGAGCCAGGUGCCAAGGACAAUGCCAGAGAAAGGAAGACAUGACACAGUCCUUACCCUCCAGGUCCUUGGAGGUGGGAGGCCCAACUCGGACAUUCACUUUUUUUCAGCCCAGCUACAGAUUUAAGAUGCUAGAGACAGAG
This is a long non-coding RNA of Heterocephalus glaber (naked mole-rat), 723 nucleotides long. NCBI's taxonomy places the organism in Eukaryota, Metazoa, Chordata, Mammalia, Rodentia, Bathyergidae. The record is from Ensembl.